AAAAUCUCAUAAAAUUGAACUCAUUGAACCGUAGUUCUCGCAAGAGUUUCUCCUCCCUUGCAGAAACCUUAAAGGCCGCCCCUCUCACCGGCGUGUCCAACCUCGGCUGAGCGCGUACGGCAACACCGCCGCUGUCAUCGGAUAGCUAACACCCCCUCUCUCCCUUUGCGGUGCUUGUUCUUCGAUGGCCUCCCCCAUUGUCCUCUCUUCUUCCUCUUCCAUUUCUCCCCGCGGUCAGAUCUGGGGUUGUAGAAGGUGGCUCGACUCCGGAACCCGUUACGUUUCGCCGCCCUUCAUGAAGGUCCUCUACUGAUGCCUACUCUCUGCGCGAUGGUCUAGGGCACCCGUGUCGUUACCACCCUCAGAUCUGCGGCAGUGAUGGUGGCAAAAGGCUUCCUCGGAGGUCGUAGUUGUCCAUCUCCUCCUUGCAGCUCCGGUGAGGCCAUAUGGCGGUGGUUUUAACUUUUAACCCCUUCCCUUCGGUGGCAGACGCCUCCCCCUCUCCGGCAACUCUGUGGGACAAGCAACGGCCUGACCCUCGACUCACCAGACCAUGAGCGACUGGAGGAUCGAUGAAGACGGCGACUAGGAUCUCCCUUAAUGGCAACCAUUGCCUGCGCACCUCCCUCCUACCACCAUCACUGUUUCUGCUCCCGGGACAAUCCCUGGUCUGAACCGGUGCAUUGGCAACCUUGGUUUGAUUGUCCAGGAUUGCAGUUUAGGAAUACGUAAGACUAAACUGAUCUAGGGCUGUAUUUUGCGGUGGAAUCUUGCGCACGGAUACCGACCCAAUGCCUCCAGACUAUCCUACUUUUUCCACUCGAAAUGGAGUGGAUUUCAUCCCAGAUUUUUGGACUAGGAUCAAAUUCCCCCUUCCCAGAUAAUAUUGGGGUUUGUGAUGAAAUUAAACUAGCGGGUCGACAGCGAAUUCUGAUGACAAAUGACAAUUGUAUCUGUAUUUUCUUGCUGUGAUUUUUCACUUAUUUUACCUUUGUCAUUUGUUCGAUAGAUAAACCGUUUUUUUUUUCGUUCUUGUAAUAUCCGAUUUGGACAUUUUACCUUGUAUCUGCUUUUGACGUGGAUUUUUAAUGAAUUCACUUUGCCCAGCAAAAAAGAAAAGAAGUAACAGUUUCUACUGUCUAUUUGGCCCGGGAUUUAUGAGGAAAUGAAAUGUCUUUUAUUAA
Non-coding RNA from Punica granatum (pomegranate), 1184 nucleotides. NCBI's taxonomy places the organism in Eukaryota, Viridiplantae, Streptophyta, Magnoliopsida, Myrtales, Lythraceae. The record is from RefSeq and is a predicted model, not a curated record.